GACGAACGCUGGCGGCGUGCUUAACACAUGCAAGUCGAACGGAAAGGCCCUGCUUUUGUGGGGUGCUCGAGUGGCGAACGGGUGAGUAACACGUGAGUAACCUGCCCUUGACUUUGGGAUAACUUCAGGAAACUGGGGCUAAUACCGGAUAGGAGCUCCUGCUGCAUGGUGGGGGUUGGAAAGUUUCGGCGGUUGGGGAUGGACUCGCGGCUUAUCAGCUUGUUGGUGGGGUAGUGGCUUACCAAGGCUUUGACGGGUAGCCGGCCUGAGAGGGUGACCGGCCACAUUGGGACUAAGAUACGGCCCAGACUCCUACGGUAGGCAGCAGUGGGGAGUAUUGCACAAUGGGCGGAAGCCUGAUGCAGCAACGCCGCGUGCGGGAUGACGGCCUUCGGGUUGUAAACCGCUUUCGCCGGUGACGAAGCGUGAGUGACGGUAAUGAGUAAAGAAGCACCGGCUAACUACGUG
This 468-nucleotide ribosomal RNA is filed under the name uncultured bacterium. Its description in RNAcentral is "partial 16S ribosomal RNA". It matches the Rfam family "Bacterial small subunit ribosomal RNA", at positions 28 to 507 of the family's 1533-position model. The record is from RNAcentral.